AGCUUACACAGUCUAUGAAUAUUUUAAAGAGUUGGGUGGUGACAUGUGAGACAAAUUUGCCGACGGCAUUCCUAUUGGUUUAGUGGGAACGUGAUGACACAGGAGUUCGGCAUAAUACUUUAAAAAGGUUCUCUGUCAGUGGUGAGCCACUGUGAAAAAGACGACCGUUAACUCCUGAUAGGCGAACUCAAGCGUUGGAAACCGAGAGCAACCUCGAGAUUACUACUGAACAUCAUGAGUGAGGGGACCUGGAUGGCAGGAAGCUUGACCCGGUGAUGUACUGGGCCGGUCACACUACCCUCUGUAGUGCCUUGCGGUCGGAGGCCGAGCAGUUGCCAUACCAGGCAGUGGUGCAACCCGUCAGGAUCCUCUCGAUGGUGCAGCUAUAAAACCUUUUGAGGAUCUGAGGACCCAUGCCAAAUCUUUUCAGAUGUAAUCAUUUAUCCUGUGUUGCAGCGACAAGGAUCUGGUGCAGCGGGCGGAAACAGCAAAACAUCUGGAGGACAAGAUGCAUCCAAGAAGUCCCAGGAAGUCCCAGCGGAGGACUUUGACAUCGACAUGGACGCCCCGGAGACUGAGAAGGCGGCCGUUGCCAUUCAAUCGCAG
Molecule: RNA transcript, 606 nt
Organism: Oncorhynchus keta (chum salmon)
Lineage: Eukaryota; Metazoa; Chordata; Actinopteri; Salmoniformes; Salmonidae
Exons: 4
Source: RefSeq, a predicted model, not a curated record